AUGCAGUCGAGGGGCAGCAUAAUGGAUAGCAAUAUCUAUGGUGGCGACCGGCGCACGGGUGCGUAACGCGUAUGCAACCUACCUUUAACAGGGGGAUAACACUGAGAAAUUGGUACUAAUACCCCAUAAUAUCAUAGAAGGCAUCUUUUAUGGUUGAAAAUUCCGAUGGUUAGAGAUGGGCAUGCGUUGUAUUAGCUAGUUGGUGGGGUAACGGCUCACCAAGGCGACGAUACAUAGGGGGACUGAGAGGUUAACCCCCCACACUGGUACUGAGACACGGACCAGACUCCUACGGGAGGCAGCAGUGGGGAAUAUUGGUCAAUGGACGCAAGUCUGAACCAGCCAUGCCGCGUGCAGGAUGACGGCUCUAUGAGUUGUAAACUGCUUUUGUACGAGGGUAAACGCAGAUACGUGUAUCUGUCUGAAAGUAUCGUACGAAUAAGGAUCGGCUAACUCCGUGCCAGCAGCCGCGGUAAUACGGAGGAUUCAAGCGUUAUCCGGAUUUAUUGGGUUUAAAGGGUGCGUAGGCGGUUUGAUAAGUUAGAGGUGAAAUUUCGGGGCUCAACCCUGAACGUGCCUCUAAUACUGUUGAGCUAGAGAGUAGUUGCGGUAGGCGGAAUGUAUGGUGUAGCGGUGAAAUGCUUAGAGAUCAUACAGAACACCGAUUGCGAAGGCAGCUUACCAAACUAUAUCUGACGUUGAGGCACGAAAGCGUGGGGAGCAAACAGG
RNAcentral lists this ribosomal RNA (729 nucleotides) under uncultured bacterium. Its description in RNAcentral is "bacterial SSU rRNA". It matches the Rfam family "Bacterial small subunit ribosomal RNA", at positions 55 to 776 of the family's 1533-position model. The record is from RNAcentral.